UCACACCACUCAAAAUCUAAAAUAAUAAUAAUAGUUAAUAAAAGUUAGAUAACCAAGUCCAAAAUACUUUUAUUUUAAGCAGCGUUUUGCAGGUGGUUUAAUCAACAAUAUUUUGUAUAUUAAUGUUUUAAUUUCAGUGAAUAUUUAAAAGUGAUAAGCCAGUUAACCUCUGUUAAUUUUUUUUUUUCACUACAAAGUAUGACUUUUAAUGAACCUUUUGUUAAAUUCUCAAGUAUUUCUGUUUGGUUUAAACAUUUUAUCCACAG
Non-coding RNA from Cinara cedri, 266 nucleotides. NCBI's taxonomy places the organism in Eukaryota, Metazoa, Arthropoda, Insecta, Hemiptera, Aphididae. The record is from the annotation of a GenBank genome assembly.